RNAcentral lists this microRNA precursor (65 nucleotides) under Strongylocentrotus purpuratus (purple sea urchin). RNAcentral's name for it is "Spu-Mir-103_pre stem-loop". Lineage: Eukaryota; Metazoa; Echinodermata; Echinoidea; Camarodonta; Strongylocentrotidae. The record is from RNAcentral.
CGCCGCUACAUCUAGUUGCAUUGUGACGUCUGUUUCAGGGAAAUGCAGCAUGAUGUAGUGGUGUA